RNAcentral lists this ribosomal RNA (1776 nucleotides) under Triticum aestivum (bread wheat). RNAcentral's name for it is "partial small subunit ribosomal RNA". The record is from RNAcentral. Lineage: Eukaryota; Viridiplantae; Streptophyta; Magnoliopsida; Poales; Poaceae.
AUGAUCUUACACGACCUUUGGUGUGUUUUGGUUUGCUUCCACGACCUUGAUGUGUUUGGUCUUCCAGGCUUCCAUCCAAGCCACACAUAUCAUCCUGUUAGUGUGUUAUCACAUCAGCGGCCAGCGGUAAUUGAUGGAGCUUUUGGUCCUGGAGCCGUGACUAGACCACCUAUCACACCUGUUCCUCCAGCUAAUGUUUUUGGUCCUGGAGCCAUGACAAGACCACGACCACUUAUGACACCUGUUCCUGCAGCUAAUGUUUUUGGUCCUGGAGCCGUGACUAGACCACCUAUCGCAUUUGUUCCUCCCGCUAAUGUUUUUGGUCCUGGAGCCAUGGCUAGNNNNNNNNNNNNNNNNNNNNNNNNNNNNNNNNNNNNNNNUCCUGGAGCUGUGACUAGACCACCUAUCGCACCUCUUCCUUCAGCUAACGUUUUUGGUCCUGGAGCUGUGACUAGACCACCUAUCGCGCCUCUUCCUCCAGCUAAUGUUUUUGGUCAUGGAGCUGUGACUACACCACCUAUUGCGCCUGUUCCUCCAGCUAACGUCUUAGGUCAUGGAGCCGUGACUAGACCACCUAUGACACCUGUUCCUCCAGCUACUGAUUUUGGUCCUGGAGCUGUGACUAGACCUCAUAUCGCACCUGUUCCUCCAGUUAAUGAGCCACAAUUUAAAGUAUAUGUUGGCAAGAUUGCAUCAACAGUGGACAAUGACUUUGUUCUUUCUCUUCUUCAGGUCUGUGGAAUUGUAAAAAGUUGGGAUCCAGUCACAAAUCCAAUUGGUGGAACUCCUACUGGGUUUGGCUUUUGUGAUUUUGAAUCUGCCGAAGGCAGUCUUCGUGCGUGGCGGUUGCUCAACAAACUAAGAAUUGAUGGUCAAGAGCUGUUGGUUAAUGUCAAUGAAGCCAUGAGCCAGCACCUUCAGAAAUACUGUGAGAAUACUACAGAAGAGAAGGCCAAUGAAACUGAUAUGGCUGCUAUGCAAACGAUACACAGUAUGGUUGAAGAGAGAAUGAGGUGUAAAUUUCUGGGUUCACCAAUUCAGUCUGUUCAGGCAUCUACAAGCAUCAGUGAUGAGAAAGGCGAUGGUCAUACAAGGAGUGGUGCACUGGAGGAAAGGACAAGCAAGAGACAACGUGAAAAAGAGGAACAUUUAGGGGAAAAUAAAGUUGUUUGUUUGCAAGGUUGGAAAGAUAAAGAAGUGAUUUCAGCUGGAAAGCCUUCUCUGCAAAUUGAUGCGAUAUCAUCAACGUAUGUUCCCAUGGAGCCUGAAUCUACAAUUGAACACGAGAGGAAACGUCAGCGCAGGGAAAAUGGGUUUCAUAAGAGCAAUGGUGAAGGUAAGGGCAUUGUAUCUGUACCAGUGCUAGUCUCAGAUAAGCUGAACAGCAGUUCCCCAGGAGAAAAGGUGAAUUCUGAAUUGCAAGCUACAUCCAAGUCAGGGAACAAGGAAACUUUGGAUGCAGAACAGUUGCUUGCUGCUAUCCCUAAGACGAAGGAAGAACUAUUUGCUUAUGAUGUUAAUUGGGCAAUUUAUGAUAAGCAUGGAUUGCAUGAGAGAAUGAGGCAUUGGGUUUCAGAGAAGUCGAUUGAAGUUUUUGGCGAGGAAAUAGCAGAGUUUGUGGAAUAUGUUGUUGCAUCAACCAAAGAGCAUGUAGACGCACCUAGAAUGUUGGAGGCCCUUGUAUCUCUUAUGGAUGAUUCUGCAGAAAAGUUUAUUCUCUCGUUGUGGACGGAACUUAUAUUUGAAAUUAAGAAAGCUGAAACCGGAUUAGCAUGA